RNAcentral lists this ribosomal RNA (1346 nucleotides) under uncultured bacterium. Its description in RNAcentral is "partial 16S ribosomal RNA". It matches the Rfam family "Bacterial small subunit ribosomal RNA", at positions 28 to 1381 of the family's 1533-position model. The record is from RNAcentral.
GACGAACGUUGGCGGCGUGCUUAACACAUGCAAGUCGAACGGAAAGGCCCUGCUUUUGUGGGGUGCUCGAGUGGCGAACGGGUGAGUAACACGUGAGUAACCUGCCCUUGACUUUGGGAUAACUUCAGGAAACUGGGGCUAAUACCGGAUAGGAGCUCCUGCUGCAUGGUGGGGGUUGGAAAGUUUCGGCGGUUGGGGAUGGACUCGCGGCUUAUCAGCUUGUUGGUGGGGUAGUGGCUUACCAAGGCUUUGACGGGUAGCCGGCCUGAGAGGGUGACCGGCCACAUUGGGACUGAGAUACGGCCCAGACUCCUACGGGAGGCAGCAGUGGGGAAUAUUGCACAAUGGGCGGAAGCCUGAUGCAGCAACGCCGCGUGCGGGAUGACGGCCUUCGGGUUGUAAACCGCUUUCGCCUGUGACGAAGCGUGAGUGACGGUAAUGGGUAAAGAAGCACCGGCUAACUACGUGCCAGCAGCCGCGGUGAUACGUAAGGUGCGAGCGUUGUCCGGAUUUAUUGGGCGUAAAGGGCUCGUAGGUGGUUGAUCGCGUCGGAAGUGUAAUCUUGGGGCUUAACCCUGAGCGUGCUUUCGAUACGGGUUGACUUGAGGAAGGUAGGGGAGAAUGGAAUUCCUGGUGGAGCGGUGGAAUGCGCAGAUAUCAGGAGGAACACCAGUGGCGAAGGCGGUUCUCUGGGCCUUUCCUGACGCUGAGGAGCGAAAGCGUGGGGAGCGAACAGGCUUAGAUACCCUGGUAGUCCACGCUGUAAACGGUGGGUACUAGGUGUGGGGUCCAUUCCACGGGUUCCGUGCCGUAGCUAACGCUUUAAGUACCCCGCCUGGGGAGUACGGCCGCAAGGCUAAAACUCAAAGGAAUUGACGGGGCCCCGCACAAGCGGCGGAGCAUGCGGAUUAAUUCGAUGCAACGCGUAGAACCUUACCUGGGUUUGACAUGGAUCGGGAGUGCUCAGAGAUGGGUGUGCCUCUUUUGGGGUCGGUUCACAGGUGGUGCAUGGCUGUCGUCAGCUCGUGUCGUGAGAUGUUGGGUUAAGUCCCGCAACGAGCGCAACCCUUGUUCACUGUUGCCAGCACGUUAUGGUGGGGACUCAGUGGAGACCGCCGGGGUCAACUCGGAGGAAGGUGGGGAUGACGUCAAGUCAUCAUGCCCCUUAUGUCCAGGGCUUCACGCAUGCUACAAUGGCUGGUACAGAGAGUGGCGAGCCUGUGAGGGUGAGCGAAUCUCGGAAAGCCGGUCUCAGUUCGGAUUGGGGUCUGCAACUCGACCUCAUGAAGUCGGAGUCGCUAGUAAUCGCAGAUCAGCAACGCUGCGGUGAAUACGUUCCCGGGGCU